RNAcentral lists this ribosomal RNA (418 nucleotides) under uncultured bacterium. RNAcentral describes it as "bacterial SSU rRNA". It matches the Rfam family "Bacterial small subunit ribosomal RNA", at positions 355 to 786 of the family's 1533-position model. The record is from RNAcentral.
UGGGGAAUAUUGGGCAAUGGGCCGCAAGCCUGACCCAGCAACGCCGCGUGAAGGAAGAAGGCUUUCGGGUUGUAAACUUCUUUUCUUGGGGACGAAACAAUGACGGUACCCAAGGAAUAAGCCACGGCUAACUACGUGCCAGCAGCCGCGGUAAUACGUAGGUGGCAAGCGUUAUCCGGAUUUAUUGGGUGUAAAGGGCGUGUAGGCGGGACUGCAAGUCAGAUGUGAAAACUCAGGGCUCAACCCUGAGCCUGCAUUUGAAACUGUAGUUCUUGAGUGCUGGAGAGGCAAUCGGAAUUCCGUGUGUAGCGGUGAAAUGCGUAGAUAUACGGAGGAACACCAGUGGCGAAGGCGGAUUGCUGGACAGUAACUGACGCUGAGGCGCGAAAGCGUGGGGAAGCAAACAGGAUUAGAUACC